Molecule: long non-coding RNA, 298 nt
Organism: Zophobas morio
Lineage: Eukaryota; Metazoa; Arthropoda; Insecta; Coleoptera; Tenebrionidae
Exons: 2
Source: RefSeq, a predicted model, not a curated record
GUCUGUUACCUGAAAAAUCGAAAUUCCGUUAUAAUGAAACUUACAACGCAUUUUCAAUUUGGAAAGAUCCGAAGCCCGCAAGUCUCCUAGCAGUUUAUGGUGUGAAUAUUCAAUGCUGAAAUUAACGUCGUGUCAGUUCUGUUUGUUACCUCAAUUAUAUAAGAAAAUGUUGGAAGCUCAUGCAGUUGAUGAAAAUGUGACAGUUACUAAUUUUGAAAUAACUUCAAAUAAUAAUCCUUUAAUAAAUAUUACUGAGUGUAGUGUUACAGUUAAUAUUAAUAAAUAAUUAUAAAAGAAA